Molecule: ribosomal RNA, 460 nt
Filed under: uncultured bacterium
Lineage: Bacteria
Description: partial 16S ribosomal RNA
Rfam family: Bacterial small subunit ribosomal RNA
Source: RNAcentral
CCUACGGGCGGCAGCAGUGAGGAAUAUUGGUCAAUGGACGAGAGUCUGAACCAGCCAAGCCGCGUGAAGGAUGACUGUCCUAUGUGUUGUAAACUUCUUUUAUCAGGGAACAAAAUGUUCCACGUGUGGGCUUAUGAAUGUACCAUAAGAAUAAGCAUCGGCUAACUCCGUGCCAGCAGCCGCGGUAAUACGGGGGCUACGUGCGUUAUCCGGAUUUAUUGGGUUUAAAGGGAGCGGAGGCGGAUUGUUAAGUCAGUGGUGAAAGGUUGGGGCUCAACCGUAGAAUUGCAGUUGAAACUGGCAGUCUGGAGUAGGAGAGAGGUGGGCGGAAUGCGUGGUGUAGCGGUGAAAUGCAUAGAUAUCGCGAAGAACUCCGAUUGCGAAGGCAGCUCACUGGACUGACACUGACGCUGAGGCUCGAAAGCGUGGGUAUCAAACAGGAUUAGAUACCCCGGUAGUC